Molecule: transfer RNA, 65 nt
Filed under: Fieberiella septentrionalis
Lineage: Eukaryota; Metazoa; Arthropoda; Insecta; Hemiptera; Cicadellidae
Description: tRNA-Leu
Source: RNAcentral
UUUAGUGUGGCAGAUUAGUGCAAUGAACUUAAAAUUCAUAUAUAAAUAACUUUAUUUCAUUAAAA